ACUCUGAUGCAGCGACGCCGCGUGAACGAUGAAGGCCUUCGGGUCGUAAAGUUCUGUCCUAGGGGACGAUAAUGACGGUACCCUAGGAGGAAGCCCCGGCUAACUACGUGCCAGCAGCCGCGGUAAUACGUAGGGGGCAAGCGUUGUCCGGAUUUAUUGGGCGUAAAGGGUGCGUAGGCGGCCUUUUAAGUCAGAUGUGAAAGGUCACGGCUCAACCGUGGUAAGCAUUUGAAACUGGAAGGCUUGAGUUAAGGAGAGGAAAGUGGAAUUCCUAGUGUAGCGGUGAAAUGCGUAGAUAUUAGGAGGAAUACCAGUGGCGAAGGCGACUUUCUGGACUUAUACUGACGCUGAUGCACGAAAGCGUGGGGAGCGAACAGGAUUAGAUACCCUGGUAGUCCACGCCGUAAACGAUGAGUGCUAGGUGUUGGGGGUCAAACCUCGGUGCCGCAGCUAACGCAUUAAGCACUCCGCCUGGGGAGUACGUACGCAAGUAUGAAACUCAAAGAAAUUGACGGGGACCC
RNAcentral lists this ribosomal RNA (521 nucleotides) under uncultured bacterium. RNAcentral's name for it is "bacterial SSU rRNA". It matches the Rfam family "Bacterial small subunit ribosomal RNA", at positions 380 to 922 of the family's 1533-position model. The record is from RNAcentral.